RNAcentral lists this non-coding RNA (49 nucleotides) under Trypanosoma lewisi. Lineage: Eukaryota; Euglenozoa; Kinetoplastea; Trypanosomatida; Trypanosomatidae. The record is from RNAcentral.
AUAUAAAACCUAAACCAGAAGCGAGAUGGACAGAAAUUAACAGAUAAAU